RNAcentral lists this ribosomal RNA (389 nucleotides) under uncultured bacterium. RNAcentral's name for it is "bacterial SSU rRNA". It matches the Rfam family "Bacterial small subunit ribosomal RNA", at positions 30 to 420 of the family's 1533-position model. The record is from RNAcentral.
AUUGAACGCUGGCGGCAUGCCUUACACAUGCAAGUCGAACGGCAGCGGGCCUUCGGGUGCCGGCGAGUGGCGAACUGGUGAGUAAUGCAUCGGAACGUGCCAUUGAGUGGGGGAUAACGUAGCGAAAGUUACGCUAAUACCGCAUAUUCUGUGAGCAGGAAAGCAGGGGGACCGCAAGGCCUUGCGCUCUUUGAGCGGCCGAUGUCAGAUUAGCUAGUUGGUGAGGUAAAGGCUUACCAAGGCGACGAUCUGUAGCGGGUCUGAGAGGAUGAUCCGCCACACUGGAACUGAGACACGGUCCAGACUCCUACGGGAGGCAGCAGUGGGGAAUUUUGGACAAUGGGCGCAAGCCUGAUCCAGCCAUGCCGCGUGAGUGAAGAAGGCCUCGG